AAAUGAGAGUGGCGCACGGGUGCGUAACACGUAUGUAACCUACCUUCAUCAGGGGGAUAGCCUCUCGAAAGAGUGAUUAACACCGCAUAACAUCAUAGAGCAGCAUUGCUUAUUGAUCAAAUAUUUAUAGGAUGAAGAUGGGCAUGCGGGACAUUAGCUAGAUGGUGAGGUAACGGCUCACCAUGGCGACGAUGUCUAGGGGAUCUGAGAGGAUGACCCCCCACACUGGUACUGAGACACGGACCAGACUCCUACGGGAGGCAGCAGUAAGGAAUAUUGGUCAAUGGAGGCAACUCUGAACCAGCCAUGCCGCGUGCAGG
RNAcentral lists this ribosomal RNA (320 nucleotides) under uncultured Mucilaginibacter sp. Its description in RNAcentral is "bacterial SSU rRNA". It matches the Rfam family "Bacterial small subunit ribosomal RNA", at positions 87 to 407 of the family's 1533-position model. Lineage: Bacteria; Pseudomonadati; Bacteroidota; Sphingobacteriia; Sphingobacteriales; Sphingobacteriaceae. The record is from RNAcentral.